Long non-coding RNA from Nasonia vitripennis (jewel wasp), 622 nucleotides. RefSeq lists it as uncharacterized. The record is from RefSeq and is a predicted model, not a curated record. The transcript has 3 exons. NCBI's taxonomy places the organism in Eukaryota, Metazoa, Arthropoda, Insecta, Hymenoptera, Pteromalidae.
UUACCAAAUAACCGAAUAAUAGCAAUAAAAUUUGCUUCUACCAAUUUAUUAUUAAACCUUAUUAUGUCUUUUCCACAGAUCAUUUGCCAGGCGAACAUUACCGACACGUUUUCUGUUUAUACUUCACCGCAGAACUGAACCACUUGGUAUCAAACUCUGAGGGAUAAACUUACUGCAAUAAAGCUUCUCGCAGUAGAAACUUAAAUUCUAUCUGAUCUCUAAAAUCUUAACUGUGGAUCUUGGCUGACAGAUGUAUGUUCACGUUAUCGUAGCUCAAGUAGAGCUUGAUCUACUGCUCAUCUCAUGGUUGCAUCUCAUCGCGUACGCUGAAUUUUACUUAAUUAGCACUCUGUUUCAAGGCACUACUCUAUCCAGGUGGUCUGCUUUAAUUAACGGAAACUUGUAGGAACAGUCUACGGAGGAAUACAUUCAGCUGGUUGCUAUUUUACAUACUUUUCUAUCGUCUUUGAAGAGACUAUUGAGCCUGUUUUCUACUAUUUUGUGAAUCUUUUGUGAAGUUUUUUCCUGACUAGACGUAUAUAUAAGUUGAAGAAAGGUGUUUUUAUACUAACAUUAUAGUAUUUUUUUAAAAUCAUAUUUAGCGAAUAUCAAGCCACAAAAA